This 184-nucleotide ribosomal RNA is filed under the name uncultured Rhodobacter sp. RNAcentral's name for it is "partial 16S ribosomal RNA". It matches the Rfam family "Bacterial small subunit ribosomal RNA", at positions 1179 to 1382 of the family's 1533-position model. The record is from RNAcentral. Lineage: Bacteria; Pseudomonadati; Pseudomonadota; Alphaproteobacteria; Rhodobacterales.
AUGACGUCAAGUCCUCAUGGCCCUUACGGGUUGGGCUACACACGUGCUACAAUGGCAGUGACAAUGGGUUAAUCCCAAAAAGCUGUCUCAGUUCGGAUUGGGGUCUGCAACUCGACCCCAUGAAGUCGGAAUCGCUAGUAAUCGCGUAACAGCAUGACCGCGGUCCGAAUACGUUCCGGGCCUU